This 1728-nucleotide long non-coding RNA is filed under the name Durio zibethinus. Its description in RNAcentral is "long non-coding RNA (DZIB_LNC000748)". Lineage: Eukaryota; Viridiplantae; Streptophyta; Magnoliopsida; Malvales; Malvaceae. The record is from RNAcentral.
CACGAUUUGAAUGAAAAGUGAUAUAUACUAAUAUAGAGCUACCGUUUGAUAUAUACUGCAAAGCUUAGUUUUACUUUUGGCCAUACAUAGAGGUAGAAACUAGUCCAAACAUGAAUCAACAUGUCAAUGGGAAUGCCGAUUAUAAGACACACUUAACUUGGGUAAGUUAGAAGAAGCAUGAUAACUGUUAGCUUAAAAGAAACACUUAGCUUGGGUAAAGUUAGAAGAACCAUGAUAACUGUUAGCUAUCUUCCCAUAGUAAAAUUCAGUGUGACUUUCUCUAAAAUUUCCAUUUAUGUUGCAUUUUUCACUAGGCUGCUGUCUAAAAAUGAAUCAAUGUGUAAUAUAUCAGCUAAUACUCGGUCUGUAUAUAUUUUUUCUUUCGUCAAUUAAAUCUAUCCUUCCCUUUAUGUCUGCCACUAGGAAAUAAAAUGGUAAUAAAACAAAAAUCGCCAAACAUUGUCUUGAUUCGUUACAUUAACAAAUUGAAAACUAGAACAAGAGUUUGGAAUGCACAACGGCGUAAGGAUCACUUUAUAGUCUUAUGAUGAUUCGGUCCUUAAAUGAUUGUAGCUUAAAGUGUAAUGUCUGUUCCUGAUAAUAGCAAGAUUCUUUCCCAGUAUCCAUGUCCCAUACUCAUAGUGCUAUAUUGAAUUGGAUAUCAUAUCACUUAUCUCUACUGUCAAACGCAUAUUAGUUUGCCCGUAAGAUUUUUAGCCAGGGCCGGAAUAUCUGUCAAACUUCAACUGAAAGCAGGAGGGAAAGAAUUGCAUAUUCAACAUAAGUAAAGAUUCUUUGUGAACUUCAUAUUGGAAUUCAUAUGAUGGUAAGGCUUGUUGUGAUUGGACAAACGCGACGUUAAUCCUUGAUUACCCCUUAAACAUCCUUUAUAAUCUUGUUUUUGUUGGGCACGUGCAUAUCCUUUGCAAUUAUUGUUGGUACAUACUUUUUUUUUGUCCCUGGUAACUUAAAUCAUAUAGCAUAUAUCUAUACUAUAUAUGACCAUGAGGAAUGAAAUUCCAAUUCAUCAAGCAGUUACUUAGAGAAAUUGAUUUAAUAGUGUUUUAUAUCAUAACCCACGACGCAGAUUUCAGUGCAAAAAAGAAAAGAAAGCUCGAACAGCCUCACAAAUAUACAUAUAUACAGAUGAGAGGCUAAUUUACAGUGGGUCCCCAGCAGAUGAGAUUCAGGAGGUUCUCAGCCUUUUCAGCUUCCCUUGGCUUCUGUUUAUCACCUAAGCCAACCUGUUUGACGGGUCUCUGGUGCCUGAGACGCAUCUAACCUGAGAAGACUUUCCAGGUCCCGAUGUGGGCUUGUCGUGCAGGUGAUAAUUAGGCUUGGCCCCACCCAUGACCCUUUACAGAUAAGGUCUUUCACCCCUGAAUGGCUCUCACACAUUACACAUCCUGCGCAAAUGCCUUGAGCUCAUUCUUAAUGCUACUUGCAGUUGGGCUAGCUGGAACUUACAGAUGGAACCUUCUAUUGGAAUGGGGUAAGACUCCAUUAUGAGUUGUGAGCUUAUUAUAUGCUAGAGCGUGAAAACUGAAAAGCUCUGCUUUUGACUAGUCGCAUUCGGAGAUACAAAUAAGGGGUAUGCGCCAGCCAUUUGCUAACCGCCUAAAAUUGGUUGCAUUCCAGGGGCUAGCCACUUCAUAUUGUUAACCGCCGACGAUCCAUAAUUGCAUUUGCAUGGAUAAUUAUUAGCUUCCUCCCAUCACUCCUUCGAUU